CUGCAAACCAAAAAAAAAAAAAAAAAAUCAUCCAGCAUUCCUUUUACAGCUAUUUACUGAUUCAGUAAGUAGUACCAUAAGGAAUGCAGCAUGAUUUUUUUUUUGCUUGUUGAUUUGUUAAAU
This 123-nucleotide microRNA precursor is filed under the name Prunus persica (peach). Its description in RNAcentral is "miR6273 stem-loop (ppe-MIR6273)". Lineage: Eukaryota; Viridiplantae; Streptophyta; Magnoliopsida; Rosales; Rosaceae. The record is from miRBase by way of RNAcentral.